RNAcentral lists this transfer-messenger RNA (404 nucleotides) under Burkholderiales. Its description in RNAcentral is "Rhizobacter sp900142965 Standard tmRNA". It matches the Rfam family "transfer-messenger RNA". From Rfam's summary of the family: Bacterial tmRNA, also known as 10Sa RNA or SsrA, is named for its dual tRNA and mRNA-like properties. Its role is to liberate the mRNA from a stalled ribosome. To accomplish this part of the tmRNA is used as a reading frame that ends in a translation stop signal. The record is from RNAcentral. Lineage: Bacteria; Pseudomonadati; Pseudomonadota; Betaproteobacteria. RNAcentral also lists the same sequence under 1 other name.
GGGGCCGACCAGGUUUCGACGUAGGUUCGGAUUCGGAGUGGGGCAUGUCGAGCACCAGUUCGCUCGUAAAUCCACUGGAUCGCACUUAACUGCGAACGACAACAAGUUCCUGAAAGCGGCUUAAUACCCGCCCAAGGGCUACCCCCCGCCGCUUAAUCCCGGUGGGCUUCGCAACAGCACGUCCAUGGGCUGGGCUUGAGGGGCAACCCAAGAGCUGCGAAGUCAUUCACAUGGAAUCGCUCUGAGCCGGGUCACUCGGUUCAAGGGCUAAAUCAAGUGACUCGGGAUGAGGGUAGCGUGCUGCUGCGCGACCACUGUCCUCAAAAACAAAUCAGUCAGCUACACAUGUAGAUCUACCCGGAGAAGGCUUUCGGACGGGGGUUCGAUUCCCCCCGGCUCCACCA